This 321-nucleotide ribosomal RNA is filed under the name Triticum aestivum (bread wheat). RNAcentral describes it as "partial small subunit ribosomal RNA". The record is from RNAcentral. Lineage: Eukaryota; Viridiplantae; Streptophyta; Magnoliopsida; Poales; Poaceae.
GGGAACCGUCGGACAGUUCAUGAGGUUUUGGCCCUCUCAAAAGCCAAUUCCCCGAGGCUUGUGUUUUUGUCUGAGACAAGGCAGGCCUCUACAAAGAUGGAGAGAUUAAAAUGGAGGUUACACUUGACGGGUUUUGCGGGUGUUUCGAGUGAUGGUCUCAGUGGAGGACUCAUGCGCUAUUGGGAUGAGAAGCUUAACGUGACUGUGUUGGAUUCAUGUGCACGGUACAUUGAUGUGCGAGUGGAGGACAUGGCGAGUGAAAAGAUUUGGAGGACAACCUUUGUAUAUGGCGAACCUCGGGUGGAGAACUGACACCGCAUG